UNUGAAGUUAAAGGCUGUGGCUUAACCAUAGUACGCUUUGGAAACUGUUUAACUNGAGUGCAGAAGGGGAGAGUGGAAUUCCAUGUGUAGCGGUGAAAUGCGUAGAUAUAUGGAGGANCACCGGUGGCGAAAGCGGCUCUCUGGUCUGUAACUGACGCUGAGGCUCGAAAGCGUGGGGAGCGAACAGGAUUAGAUACCCUGGUAGCCCACGCCGUAAACGAUGAGUGCUAGGUGUUAGGCCCUUUCCGGGGCUUAGUGCCGCAGCUAACGCAUUAAGCACUCCGCCUGGGGAGUACGACCGCAAGGUUGAAACUCAAAGGAAUUGACGGGGGCCCGCACAAGCGGUGGAGCAUGUGGUUUAAUUCGAAGCAACGCGAAGAACCUUACCAGGUCUUGACAUCCCGAUGCCCGCUCUAGAGAUAGAGUUUUACUUCGGUACAUCGGUGACAGGUGGUGCAUGGUUGUCGUCAGCUCGUGUCGUGAGAUGUUGGGUUAAGUCCCGCAACGAGCGCAACCCUUAUUGUUAGUUGCCAUCAUUCAGUUGGGCACUCUAGCGAGACUGCCGGUAAUAAACCGGAGGAAGGUGGGGAUGACGUCAAAUCAUCAUGCCCCUUAUGACCUGGGCUACACACGUGCUACAAUGGCUGGUACAACGAGUCGCAAGUCGGUGACGGCAAGCUAAUCUCUUAAAGCCAAUCUCAGUUCGGAUUGUAGGCUGCAACUCGCCUACAUGAAGUCGGAAUCGCUAGUAAUCGCGGAUCAGCACGCCGCGGUGAAUACGUUCCCGGGCCUUGUACACACCGCCCGUCCCACCACGAGAGUUUGUAACACCCGAAGUCGGUGAGGUAACCGUAAG
This 856-nucleotide ribosomal RNA is filed under the name uncultured bacterium. Its description in RNAcentral is "bacterial SSU rRNA". It matches the Rfam family "Bacterial small subunit ribosomal RNA", at positions 588 to 1445 of the family's 1533-position model. The record is from RNAcentral.